CUAAGACGUUGCUCAUCUACGAGUCACUGGAGAUGGAAUACGGGACCCUGGGCUGAACUUGCCUUGUGGCGCCCUUCCUGAACGCAGGGCUUCACUCCAUCGCGGUUCUCGUGCUGUAAUUGGCUGAUGUGGUUGUGUGCGGCUGCCAUAGCACAAGGAAUGGUUGGUCCAGCCCUGCACACAAGCAUCCGGCCUGGAUUGGAGCUCUUCCCAGAAAUUGAUCUGGUGACGUUUUCCAGCUGACGUUGGCAUCAUCAGCACUGACCCUAAGAUAUCUGGGAGCCGCAAAAGCCGCCAUCAGAGAAGCCAACGAUCCCUUGAUGUUGAAUGUUGUUCAGUACUGUUGUUGCUCUCAUGCUGAUCCCUCGAAAUUUCUGUCCGUGAAGCCAGCAGCAGCCGCAUCUUCUUCACCUCGGGAAGUUUCGUGCAGACCGUCACCGUCUAAGACCAGUGGCGCAACGACACUUACUCUCACACAGCACUGCUAAGAAUAUGCUGGAUCCCACCAUGCGCUCACGAUGUGGUGGAACGCAUCACUCACCCUGCACACAGCUCUCGGUAAGUUCAGACGGUCGAGUCGGGUCUCCUCACAUUCCCAGGCGAGGGACGCAAACUCAGACCUAAGACGGGUUUCCUCUUGCUCGAUGAGGACACAGCAAGGUGAAGUGGCACGCAGGUCGCUAAAUAUCUCUUUUUAAUCGCAAAAGUCUUCCCU
Molecule: long non-coding RNA, 715 nt
Filed under: Coccomyxa subellipsoidea
Lineage: Eukaryota; Viridiplantae; Chlorophyta; Trebouxiophyceae; Coccomyxaceae
Description: long non-coding RNA (CSUB_LNC000645)
Source: RNAcentral